GUAGCGAGAGAACGUUGCCGAAGGCAACGGCCCGAAGGGCGAGGCGCUUUAGCGCCGAGUUAUCCUUCCCCCACCACCA
This 79-nucleotide small RNA is filed under the name Acinetobacter baumannii. RNAcentral's name for it is "partial RtT sRNA". It matches the Rfam family "RtT RNA", at positions 54 to 130 of the family's 130-position model. From Rfam's summary of the family: This family represents a bacterial cis-regulatory element known as RtT RNA. The record is from RNAcentral. Lineage: Bacteria; Pseudomonadati; Pseudomonadota; Gammaproteobacteria; Moraxellales; Moraxellaceae.